UACGUAGGGGGCAAGCGUUGUCCGGAAUUAUUGGGCGUAAAGAGCGUGUAGGCGGCCAGAUAAGUCCGCUGUGAAAACUCGAGGCUCAACCUCGAGACGCCGAUGGAAACCGUCUGGCUAGAGUCCGGAAGAGGAGAGUGGAAUUCCCGGUGUAGCGGUGAAAUGCGCAGAUAUCGGGAAGAACACCCGUGGCGAAGGCGGCUCUCUAGUACGGUACUGACGCUGAGACGCGAAAGCGUGGGGAGCGAACAGG
Molecule: ribosomal RNA, 253 nt
Filed under: uncultured bacterium
Lineage: Bacteria
Description: partial 16S ribosomal RNA
Rfam family: Bacterial small subunit ribosomal RNA
Source: RNAcentral